This 1346-nucleotide long non-coding RNA is filed under the name Homo sapiens (human). Its description in RNAcentral is "HSALNT0263580". The record is from RNAcentral. Lineage: Eukaryota; Metazoa; Chordata; Mammalia; Primates; Hominidae.
CUCACAUGACUGGUGAUUUCAGGGAGGACUCUGGAAUGUUGUAUUUCCUAAGCCUUUGCCUUAGAUUCUGAUUUGACUGGUCCUGGGUGCAACGGGGCUGGCAUGAGACGACUAAAAACUCCCCAGGUGAAUCCAAUGAGCAACCAGGCUAAGGACCAGUGAUCUAACUGUAAGUCAUUCUCUUCUUUUCCCUUUGUAAUUUUAUGUUUCCACCUCAUACUGUGGUUGGCUACAUCUGUUUCUUCCCUCUCCUACUAGAAUGUAGGCUCCAGAUGGCCUUCCAAACAAUACAUGUGGCCCUUCACGCUCCAGGUGAUGACAAGUACCCGUUGCUGAUGGAAGUAGCAGAGUCAUACCUUUCUUGGAAUUUAGGUUCUACAGUCAAUGCUUAUGGCACCCAAUGAGUCAAAAACACCCUUGGCAACUCCUAAGGAAGGCUCUGCCCUGGAACCUGAUGUACUGUUUCCCCAUCACCAUCCAGGGAGAGUUUCCUCCUGGGCCGGAACAGAAAGCUGCCUCCUCCAUCAGGCACCAGAGGAAGUAGGGGGCUUCUGUUUAGGGACCACUUUGCAUAAAUACACAUUUAAACAUGUGCCUCACCCUCAGCACAGCAGGAUGCUCACGCCAUGAACAGCCAACAGGAACCAGAGUGACCGACCCUCCAGGAGGUACACACCUCCCUCCCAUCCCACCCACUUCUGAGCAUAUGGUUCUCACAUCCACCAGUGGGUGGAAUCACCCACACCAUUUAAACUUUUUGUCAAGGAUGUAGAGCUGAAUUCAUGUGAUUUCCCACAUGAGCAAUGUCCCUCCCUCCACUGCACAAUUAUAGCCAGCUCAAGCAGGUCCUCUCCUUCCUUCUACCUGCCCUGCAAAUGGCUCUCUCCUUCACUGACCCCCCGCCCUCCUUCUUAAAGGCUGAUGCUCCCUAGGACUCUAUCCUUGAUGCUUCUCAUUAAUUCUUCUCCCCGCUGGCUCUCAGCCCUACUUAGGGCUCCUGAUCAGUUAAAAAAGACCCAUGAGACCUCCCCUCCCCAGUUAACAGAGAUGUGGCCCAAGAGGCUCCCCACUUCUAAUUUGAGUGGGGGCAAAAGAAGAGAAAGAUCUUAUCUAGGUCUUGGGGGCAGGGCUUGCAGGGCACAAAGAAACAGAGUAAAUGUGCAACAGGCUAUUUUCUUGAAUGAAUGGAUUCAUAAUAAGAACAGGACUUCACCAGCUUCCAAGGGACCCUCCCCACCUCUCGGAUAUAUUCUGAAGCCUAAAUUUCACCUGCUUAUCUAGGAUCCUAGGCCAGGCCUUCUGCCACACCAAGCCACACCAACUCUGAGUCCAAGAGGGAAGGACUG